AUUUUUAUAGCUUAUAUAGAGUAAUACACUGAAGAUGUAAAGGAAGAAUUAAACUUAAAAAUA
Molecule: transfer RNA, 63 nt
Filed under: Petalocephala ochracea
Lineage: Eukaryota; Metazoa; Arthropoda; Insecta; Hemiptera; Cicadellidae
Description: tRNA-Phe
Source: RNAcentral